CCUACGGGUGGCUGCAGUGAGGAAUAUUGGUCAAUGGCCGCAAGGCUGAACCAGCCAAGCCGCGUGAAGGACGAAGGUGCCAAGCAUUGUAAACUUCUUUUGUCAAGGGACAAAAUCAGGCUCGAGAGCCUGACAGAGGGUACCUGAAGAAAAAGCAUCGGCUAACUCCGUGCCAGCAGCGGAGGUAAUACGGAGGAUGCGUGCGUGAUCCGGAUGUAUGGGGGUUAAAGGGUGCGUAGGCGGACUGUUAAGUCAGCGGUAAAAGCCCGGGGCUAAACCCCGGCGAGCCGUUGAAACUGGCUGUCUUGAGAUCUCGAGAGGUAUGCGGAAUGCGCUGUGUAGCGGUGAAAUGCUUAGAUAUUGGGCAGAACUCCGAUUGCGAAGGCAGCAUACCGGCGGCGAUCUGACGCUGAGGCACGAAAGCGUGGGUAGCGAACAGGAUUAGAUACCCGAGUAGUC
Molecule: ribosomal RNA, 459 nt
Filed under: uncultured bacterium
Lineage: Bacteria
Description: partial 16S ribosomal RNA
Rfam family: Bacterial small subunit ribosomal RNA
Source: RNAcentral